This is a long non-coding RNA of Gadus chalcogrammus (walleye pollock), 1979 nucleotides long. RefSeq lists it as uncharacterized. Lineage: Eukaryota; Metazoa; Chordata; Actinopteri; Gadiformes; Gadidae. The record is from RefSeq and is a predicted model, not a curated record. The transcript has 4 exons.
UGAGCCUGCUGCUGACCUCCUCUAUUUGGGUUGCUGACAUCUUCAGGCCCUUCACUCCUCUGCACCACAUGAAGAGAAGCCUCUUCAUGACACCCAAGCAUGCCUGGUGCAUGUAAUCGAUGGGAAAUGCACUGAUCAUGUUUAUGGGUAAAUCCAAAAGCGGGGUGCUGCCAUGAUGAUGCUCGCCCUGUGUCUGUUGGCGGAAGGAGUCGUCACUACGAGCCACCACCUCUGUGUCUUGGCCACUGGACAGGAGGUUGUUGACAUCCAUCACCAUGUCUUCCAGGAAUUCCAGAUUCUGUGGUUUCGAACCUCCACAAGUAAGGGUGAUAGGGAAGACUGACACUGGUUUUAAAUGGACAGCACAAAGGAUGGGCCACAUUGUUCUUCCUGAGCUCUUAAACAGAGGAAAAUGGACAUACUCCAUACACCAGACUUUGAUGUGAUCCUGACCUCCCUUGGUGUCUUCAGGAGUGUCCUGGUGGUGGAAGGCAGGGACCGAACUGAAGACGCUGGGAUCCACCAUUUAAGAGACAUCCGGAAUCAACAGGACAUCUUCACAACCCUGACUCGGCAGCGACAGUUGAGCCAGCCUCUCUGCAGCUUAAGGACAACUUCAGCUUGAUCGAAAACUGGGGUGCAAUUCGUAUAAUAAUAGGAUAAAAACACCAGAUUUGGUGUUUUAAGGUUUAUUAGUCUGAGGUUUAAUUAAUGUAUCAAAGCAACACAGCACUCGUGAUCGUGGGGUGGCUAUCUGGGCCACUCGACAUCAGAACCUUGAGUUUGCAGCCUCAACAAAACACCCGUGAUUAUAUCAUUGCCCAACCCCACUCUCACUCGCACAAUUUCAAAUUGCAUUGAUGACCUUAUUUCAGCCUUGGUUACCGAAUACUAAGAUUAAACUCAGGUUGAUUGUCAGUUCAGUCUUAUCCUGUGGGUCAGGCACUGCUGUUAUUUUCUUGUAACUUAAAAUUGCACUAGACAGCAUUAAUAUUAGUUUGGAUUGGAUUCUGAUUAGCAGUCACUGCUUUAGCUAUACUCUCCACCUCAGCCUCUCCACGGCCUUUAUGCUCAGUCCUGGUUGACCAAUGUAAACCUUCAAUGUGGUUUGUUCACUUGAAUCCGUGAAACGCAUGAAUUGUACUUCAAAUGUUUUGUUAAUAGAAAGAAUUGUCGUGAUUUGGUCCCUGUAUAUGCAUUUGAAAUAAAUGAUUCAUCAAUUCAGUAUCUGAAUAUAUUUCAUUUCUAUUUUUCAACAGGGUCAGAGUUUGUGGAAAUGAGAAUUGUUAUGUAGUUCUGGAUGGUCAACAUAGUUGAGCACAAAUAUUUGUUGUGGGAAUUGAGUCAUCACUAAGUAGUAAAUAGACAAUAAAAGUGGUGACAUUUUCUGAUUUAACCUAAUAUUUGUGUUGGACACAAACAGCCAGUGUAAUUCUGAAGUUUGAUAUCACGGUAAGUAAAUGACCACACCACUACGUAGCCGUGACAUUACUUGCAUUACCAAGUGGCAACGUUAGCAAAUGACCACACCACUACGUCACGGCAACGUUAUUAACAGUACCAAGCGGCAACGUUAACAAAUGACCACACCACUAUGUUGUGGCAACGUCACUCACGCUACAAAUGGGCAACGUUAGCAAAUGACCACACCACUACGUCGCGGCAACGUCACUCACGCUACCAAGUGGCAACGUUAGCAAAUGACCACACCACUACGUCGCGGCAACGUUAUUAACAGUACCAAGUGGCAACGUUAGCAAAUGACCACACCACUACGUUGUGGCAACGUCACUCACGCUACCAAGUGGCAACGUUAGCAAAAUUACCAAGCCACUACGUCGCGGCAAUGUUAUUUGUUUACUUUAUGGCAACUUCCUGUAGGCAACGUCAUGGCGAUGUUGCCACAACGUUGCCAGGAGGUAAUGUUGCCAUGACCAAAUGGCAACGUAUAGGCAACGUUGCCGUAUGGUCGUGUGUUA